This is a non-coding RNA of Gossypium arboreum, 107 nucleotides long. The record is from Rfam. Lineage: Eukaryota; Viridiplantae; Streptophyta; Magnoliopsida; Malvales; Malvaceae.
AAUCCAUGAUGAGGACACUUUCUCAAAAGAUCUUUAAAACUCUCUCAUGCAUCGUAUAAUGUCUCAAACUCAAAUUGAGCAAAAGAAAAGAUGUCAUUCCUCAACUU